GCGGACGGGUGAGUAAUGUCUGGGAAACUGCCUGAUGGAGGGGGAUAACUACUGGAAACGGUAGCUAAUACCGCAUAACGUCGCAAGACCAAAGAGGGGGACCUUCGGGCCUCUUGCCAUCGGAUGUGCCCAGAUGGGAUUAGCUAGUAGGUGGGGUAAAGGCUCACCUAGGCGACGAUCCCUAGCUGGUCUGAGAGGAUGACCAGCCACACUGGAACUGAGACACGGUCCAGACUCCUACGGGAGGCAGCAUG
Molecule: ribosomal RNA, 254 nt
Filed under: uncultured bacterium
Lineage: Bacteria
Description: partial 16S ribosomal RNA
Rfam family: Bacterial small subunit ribosomal RNA
Source: RNAcentral